CUCCCUACGCAGUGGCAGUAUCGUAGCUAAUGAGGUUAAUCCGAGGGGUGAUCAUUGCUAGUUGAAAAUUUUUCUAAAUCUU
This 82-nucleotide small nuclear RNA is filed under the name Gopherus agassizii (Agassiz's desert tortoise). RNAcentral's name for it is "U4 spliceosomal RNA (ENSGAGG00000025639.1)". It matches the Rfam family "U4 spliceosomal RNA", at positions 1 to 82 of the family's 138-position model. Rfam says of the family: U4 small nuclear RNA (U4 snRNA) is a component of the major U2-dependent spliceosome. Lineage: Eukaryota; Metazoa; Chordata; Testudines; Testudinidae. The record is from RNAcentral.